Neoarius graeffei (lesser salmon catfish) is the source of this 698-nucleotide long non-coding RNA. RefSeq lists it as uncharacterized. The transcript is spliced from 3 exons. The record is from RefSeq and is a predicted model, not a curated record. Lineage: Eukaryota; Metazoa; Chordata; Actinopteri; Siluriformes; Ariidae.
AGCCACCGCAUCCUUCAGGAGAUCCAGACACACUGGACACAUGAACUGGUCCACAGAAAGCUGAUCUACUGAAAUACUGGCCUCGGCCAUUUUCCUGAAAUCACAGAGAGAGAGAUCAGGGUUUUGUUUUUUUUCUCCGAAAUGAGGAGUUACUUCCUGGUUCUGUGUGUGAAAGAGAGAUGGAGAGAGGAGGAGCACAAACACAGAGAGAUAUCCAUUUCAGAAAAUUUUCUCUGCUUUUUGGCUGUGGUGGUGAAAUCAUCUGCUGAACUGCUGCAACUGUGGAGAAAAACGGAAACAAAGACAAAAGCAUCAGAAGUUUGUCUAAAAGUUGGAAAAAGGAACAGCUCCACGUACCAUGUGGACGGAUUUGGUUGAAUUCCUCCUUACAGAAUUAACCUCGUUGGAUUUUGUUCAAUUUCUUUUAAAUGAAGUCCUAAGGAAAGGUACAAAUAUUAGCCCCGCCCUAAAAUCACCAUCAGUCCACCCCUACACCUGAACAUCAUUAAAUUUUCAUGCAAAUUGAGUUGUGUGAAAUGAUAGAAAUGUGCAAAUCUGAGACCGUAUCAGUUAGAAUGUCUGGGUUUCUAAUUCCAUUAGAGAUCAUCUCAUCUCAUUAUCUGUAGCCGCUUUAUCCUUCUACAGGGUCGCAGGCAAGCUGGAGCCUAUCCCAGCUGACUACGGGCGAAAGGCGGGGU